CCUACGGGUGGCAGCAGUGGGGAAUAUUGGGCAAUGGGCGCAAGCCUGACGCAGCAACGCCGCGUGAGGGAUGAAGGCUUUCGGGUUGUAAACUUCUUUUAUCAGGGACGAAGCAAGUGACGGUUCAUGAUGAAUAAGUCACGGCUACCUACGUGCGAGCAGCCGCCGUACUACGUAGGUGGCAAGCGUUAUACGGAUUUACUGGGUGUAAAGGGCGUGUAGGCGGGAGGUAAAGUCAGAGGUGACAACUAUGGGCUCAACCCAUAGCCUGCAUUUGAAACUGUACUUCUGGAGUGCUGGAGAGGCAAUCGGAAUUCCGGGUGGAGCGGUGAAAUGCGUAGAUAUACGGAGGAACACCAGUGGCGAAGGCGGAUUGCUGGACAGUAACUGACGCUGAGGCGCGAAAGCGUGGGUAGCAAACAGGAUUAGAUACCCGUGUAGUC
RNAcentral lists this ribosomal RNA (443 nucleotides) under uncultured bacterium. RNAcentral's name for it is "partial 16S ribosomal RNA". It matches the Rfam family "Bacterial small subunit ribosomal RNA", at positions 338 to 795 of the family's 1533-position model. The record is from RNAcentral.